UAAAUUUUGGGUAAUUGCGGUCUAGCUAGACUAGGCUGAGGAAAGUCCAUGCUCGCACAAGCUGAGAUGCUUGUAGUGUUCGUGCUUAGCGAAAAAAUAAGCUAAGGCCUUUAUAGAAAUAUAAAGUAACGGCAGAAAAAAAGUGCUAAGGUUACUUGUAACUAUGCCUGAGUAUUCUUGAAAAGUGCCACAGUGACGAAGCAUUAGUGGAAACGCUAAUGGUGGAACGCGGUAAACCCCUCGAGCGAGCAACCCAAACUUUGGUAGGGGCACUCUUUCUAAGGAAUUCAACGAGAGAAAGAGGCAAGUAAUUGCAGACAGAUAAUUACCUCCGGAUAAAAGAGACCCUGACUUUUUAUCUGAGACAGAACAUGGCUUACAGAAAUU
Molecule: RNase P RNA, 387 nt
Filed under: Carnobacterium maltaromaticum
Lineage: Bacteria; Bacillati; Bacillota; Bacilli; Lactobacillales; Carnobacteriaceae
Description: RNaseP_bact_b
Rfam family: Bacterial RNase P class B
About the family: Ribonuclease P (RNase P) is a ubiquitous endoribonuclease, found in archaea, bacteria and eukarya as well as chloroplasts and mitochondria. Its best characterised activity is the generation of mature 5'-ends of tRNAs by cleaving the 5'-leader elements of precursor-tRNAs.
Source: RNAcentral